UAGGCAUUGAAUCAAGCUUGGCAGUUCUUGAAGCUAUUGGUUUCAAGCAGGAGCCUAAAGUGACAUCUUUCUAUGGUCUGGUGGCCAUUUCAGAACUUUAGAAACAUAAUGGUCAGUUCAUUAUAAAGAAAGGACU
Molecule: small nucleolar RNA, 136 nt
Organism: Cavia porcellus (domestic guinea pig)
Lineage: Eukaryota; Metazoa; Chordata; Mammalia; Rodentia; Caviidae
Source: Ensembl